UACGUAGGGCGCAAGCGUUGUCCGGAUUCACUGGGUUUAAAGGGUGCGUAGGAGGGCAGGUAAGUCAGUGGUGAAAUCCCCGAGCUUAACUUGGGAACUGCCGUUGAUACUAUCUGUCUUGAAUAUCGUGGAGGUGAGCGGAAUAUGUCAUGUAGCGGUGAAAUGCUUAGAUAUGACAUAGAACACCAAUUGCGAAGGCAGCUCGCUACACGAAUAUUGACUCUGAGGCACGAAAGCGUGGGGAUCAAACAGG
RNAcentral lists this ribosomal RNA (253 nucleotides) under uncultured bacterium. Its description in RNAcentral is "partial 16S ribosomal RNA". It matches the Rfam family "Bacterial small subunit ribosomal RNA", at positions 524 to 776 of the family's 1533-position model. The record is from RNAcentral.